This 1134-nucleotide ribosomal RNA is filed under the name Mollisia fusca. RNAcentral describes it as "LSU rRNA". It matches the Rfam family "Eukaryotic large subunit ribosomal RNA", at positions 75 to 1108 of the family's 3401-position model. Lineage: Eukaryota; Fungi; Ascomycota; Leotiomycetes; Helotiales; Mollisiaceae. The record is from RNAcentral.
UUACCUCAGUAACGGCGAGUGAAGCGGUAACAGCUCAAAUUUGAAAGCUGCCAACAGGCCGCGUUGUAAUUUGUAGAAGGAUGCUUUGGGUUGUUGGCCUAGUCUAAGUUCCUUGGAAACAGGACGUCAUAGAGGGUGAGAAUCCCGUACGUGACUAGUGCCGGCCCCCGUGUAAAGCUCUUUCGACGAGGUCGAGUUGUUUGGGAAUGCAGCUCAAAAUGGGUGGUAAAUUUCAUCUAAAAGCUAAAUAUUGGCCAGAGACCGAUAGCGCACAAGUAGAGUGAUCGAAAGAUGAAAAGCACUUUGGAAAGAGAGUUAAACAGUACGUGAAAUUGUUGAAAGGGAAGCGCUUGCAAUCAGACUUGCAGGCAGUCGAUCAUCCGAGGUUCUCCCCGGUGCACUCGAUUGUCUUCAGGCCAGCAUCGGUUUCGGUGGUGGGAUAAAGGCUGUGGGAAUGUGGCUCUUCGGAGUGUUAUAGCCCACGGUGCAAUGCCGCCUACCGGGAUCGAGGACCGCGCUUCGGCUAGGAUGCUGGCGUAAUGGUUGUAAGCGACCCGUCUUGAAACACGGACCAAGGAGUCUAACAUCUAUGCGAGUGUUUGGGUGUCAAACCCAUACGCGUAAUGAAAGUGAACGGAGGUGAGAGCCCUUUAGGGCGCAUCAUCGACCGAUCCUGAUGUCUUCGGAUGGAUUUGAGUAAGAGCAUAGCUGUUGGGACCCGAAAGAUGGUGAACUAUGCGUGAAUAGGGUGAAGCCAGAGGAAACUCUGGUGGAGGCUCGCAGCGGUUCUGACGUGCAAAUCGAUCGUCAAAUUUGCGUAUAGGGGCGAAAGACUAAUCGAACCAUUGGAACACUACUAGGUGGUUAAGAGGCAAGCAGAUCUAGUUCCGCUCUGGCGGGCAACACUCUCAAAUUGCCGGGGACGUCCCGGUAAUGCGCUACUACCGCAGCUGGCCUCGAAAGGGCCGGCGCGCACCGGCUCUCUGAGCUGGGGAUGGUAACAAGGUAGGUGCUAGGGAUGAUCCGCAGCCAACUCCUACGGGCCCUCACCGGCCUACGGACGCAGUUCACAGACUAAAUGUGAGUGGGCUCCCCGAGCUUAAGUGAUAGUCGACCCCCGCGAGAGCGGGUGAA